Choloepus didactylus (southern two-toed sloth) is the source of this 11513-nucleotide RNA transcript. It is a transcript of the gene named progestin and adipoQ receptor family member 3, with no coding region annotated. The transcript has 9 exons. NCBI's taxonomy places the organism in Eukaryota, Metazoa, Chordata, Mammalia, Pilosa, Megalonychidae. The record is from RefSeq and is a predicted model, not a curated record.
CGGGUCCGCCGCGGCACUGACGGUGGCGGCUGGUCUGUUCGCCGUGCUGGUCUUGGACACCUGCGGGGCCGUAGGACCUCGCGCAGCGUCCGCGGCCUCCGGGGCGGGGGCUCCGGUGGCGAAGCCCCCUCCCCGGGGGGGCGGGGCCUGGGCGAGCUCCCCUCCGGGGAACGGCGGCGGCGGGGAACCAUGCAUCAGAAACUGCUGAAGAGCGCUCAUUACAUCGAACUGGGCAGCUACCAGUAUUGGCCCGUGCUGAUACCCCGCGGCAUCCGCCUCUACACCUACGAGCAGAUCCCCGUGUCCCUCAAGGACAAUCCGUACAUCACCGACGGCUACCGGGCCUACCUGCCCUCCAGGCUGUGUAUAAAAAGUUUGUUUAUUUUAUCUAAUGAGACGGUAAACAUCUGGAGUCAUUUGCUGGGUUUCUUUCUUUUCUUCACACUGGGAAUAUAUGACAUGACAUCUGUGUUACCUUCAUCAAGUGCUUCAAGAGAAGAUUUUGUAAUUUGUUCUAUUUGCCUUUUCUGCUUCCAGGUCUGUAUGCUUUGCUCUGUAGGCUAUCAUCUUUUUUCCUGCCAUCGGUCAGAAAAAACCUGUCGAAGAUGGAUGGCAUUAGAUUAUGCUGGAAUCUCUGUUGGAAUAUUGGGCUGCUAUGUCUCGGGAGUAUUUUAUGCAUUUUAUUGUAAUAAUUAUUGGCGUCAAGUGUACUUGAUCACAGUGCUUGCUAUGAUCCUGGCAGUGUUCUUUGCUCAGAUUCAUCCGAGUUACCUCACACAGCAAUGGCAGAGGCUCCGUUCUAUCAUCUUUUGUUCUGUUUCGGGAUAUGGAGUGAUCCCUACUCUUCACUGGGUUUGGCUGAAUGGAGGAGUCGGUGCUCCUAUUGUACAGGACUUUGCACCCCGCGUAAUUGUAAUGUAUGUGAUUGCUCUCCUCGCUUUCCUAUUCUACAUUUCCAAAGUUCCAGAAAGGUACUUUCCAGGACAACUAAACUACCUCGGAUCAAGCCACCAAAUAUGGCAUAUCCUUGCGGUAGUGAUGUUAUAUUGGUGGCAUCAGUCAACAGUGUAUGUCAUGCAGUACAGACAUAGCAAGCCUUGUCCUGACUAUGUUUCACAUUUGUGAAUUCAGCUUCAAAAUCAUUUUAGAAUCAGGAAUGAAGAUUCAAGGAAUAUCUAUACAUCUUAUGACAUCCCACCCGGACAAAGUAACUGAUAUGAAGAUUGUGAUUGACUGGCUUAGAGCUGUGCAACUCUCCAUUUGGCAGCUGGUACAUAAUCGGCGCUUAAUGUCUGUGGUGUGAAUGAAAGAAAUGAAUAGAGGGCUCAUAUGCAAAACUUUUAAUAAGACAAAUGAAAAACUCUGAAGUCACUGAUUAUAAAGAAUAUGCAAUCCAUUUGGGAUUUAUUGCAUUUAAAGAAAGCAGAUUAUUAAAACGGAAUUAAUGCCAAGAAUCCAUCAGAAGUAUCUACUGUUUAGAAGGAAAUGGAGCAGCACCAAAUGGGUCUAAUUCAACUGAUUGGGACUGUUGGGACUGAUGUGAAGCGAUGCUUUGCACCACAAGUUCUGUAAAGGGCACGGCGCCAAAGUCAUCCAUUUUCAACGCAUCUGCACUAUGGAAUGACCCAUGUAGUGAAUUCUGUCUUGGCCGCCCGGGCAAUACGGUAUUGUGGUCAGCACGAAUGUCGCUCAGGCCUUGAUGUGAAGGGUGCCGGGUCAAGUCUGGAGGAUGGAAGGGCUUAGCCCCAAAGGGGUCCAACAGACUCUCCUCGGGUUGCAGGACAUUUCCCCUGUCUUUUACAUCAGUCAGCGCAACACUAAUAUUCUCCUUAGAGUCUGAAAUUGUUAAAAAUUCAUUACUGCUUUGAGAGUCUCGGCGGCCCACUUUUUUGUGCCUACGAGCCCUCUCUGGGGUGCGGUAGGUAGGCUUCAAAGUCUUUUUUGUGUUAGUCGGUGUGCCAUGAUGUCGCUUCCCAUUACUUUUUGACAUAUCCUGCUUUGUGCGCCUUUGGCGAGAGGACAGUUUCUGUAAGCUGCGCUGUUUGACUUUUUGCUGCUCACUCCCAGUUAUUUCCUCAAAGGGCACAAGCCCAAAAAGGUCCUCAUUGCUUUUGCUUUCACUUGUUAAUGUGGGAAAAGGCUGAAAUGGAGUAGAGCCAAAUACAUCUACACUUUUGGGACAACCAGGGAGAUUAUGUGCUUCGGGCCCUACUGCACGGCAGUCUUGUACAUUCAACUUCUUGCUAAAGGGUGCCUUUGUGAAUACAUCAAUUUCUUCUUGCUCUAGUCCCACAGUAGAAAAAUGGGUCUCUUGAGAGAUGUUCUUUUCAUUUGCUCCUGGCUGGGGUUGUUGAGCACGCACUGCGAAGAAGGGGACAGCGCCAAAUACAUCAAACUCCUGUUUGACAGUCUCCACCCCAACAUCAGGGGGCAGCUGGGUUGGGUUGAGGAUUGUUAUGUUAGGAUCUUGGAUUUGCCCACUCCCUGAUUUGUCUCUAUAGACAGGGCUCACAUCACUAUACUUUGCUUUGGCCUGCUCAUAAUCAGAGUCCGAACUAUGUUUUUCUUCUUCCUCAUCUUCAGAAUCCAUGAGGAGAGGCCUAUGACCCAGAUUUUCUGGUUCAGUAUCAUCAUCAUUAAAAUCUCCUUGUUCUCCCUGAAGAACAUCUUCUUGCUCCUCCUCUUCACUGCUCUUAGGAGAAGGGGGAUCUGAUUCAAAAUCACUUUCAGAUUCAUCAUUCCCUUUUUGUACUUGACCCUCUACUGCUGAAUUCUCUGAGGUUUUCUUUCCAAUCCGGUGAUCUUUAUAAACUAUACUUGCUUUUCCAUUCUUGACAGGGUCUACAGUGCUAUUGUCUUGAUUCCUAGAAGAAUGUUCAACUUUCUUUUCAGGAGAACCUGUAGGUUCAAAGAAAAAUUAUUAUACCAUUCCAAGGCAUUUCAAAAACCAUUUGCACUAAACACUAAUCCAUACUAAGAGGGGAGAAAAAUCAAUUCUGCUUAAUGCAUUUGCCUUUAACAAGUUAGGUCUUUUAGUGCAGACAGACUUACUUACCUGUACCCUACACAGUGCCUAUAAGCCCUCAUUGAUAUAAAUUGUAUUUAUAGCACCCAGGACUCUGAACAUAGCAGGCAAGCAAAUUUUUCUUCUCUCCACCCUUUUGCUUAUAUUUUAUUUGCAAUUUGUUUUAAUUGGCAUUCUGAUUUUUUAUAAUGAGUGCCUUGUGAGUUUGGUUAACAUGAGUGCAUCCCCCAAAGCUCAUCAAAGCUAUCCUCCUAUAAUGUCUAUACUACUAGACAUUACAUUAAAAGCAUGCUGCCUUUUAAAAAAAUCUAACCAUCAGUGUGCUAAAUAUAUGCUAAGUAGUAAAACUGCCUCAUAGUGCUUUAUAAUUUCACUGUAUCUUAUAUAAUAUAUAGUGUAUUAAUUUACAUGAGAACAUACUGCCCUCCCAAUAUAUAGGUAUACUGAGUUGAUUUUCCAGAGGUGGAGAUUGAUGUAUAUUGAUCCAAAUACACAUUCUCAUUCCUUUCCUUUCUUUGACAAAGAUCAAGUAUUUUCAAAUAAUUAGCUAUGGUUGGAAGGACAGUUUGUAGGCAUGAAAACUAACUCUGAUGGAAGACCCAUUACUUACUUUCAUUAACAUGGUAGUCUCUCUGAUGCUUCUAUUUCCUACUCUGAAGAGUCAGCCCUUUUUCUUCUCUUUUCCUUCCUGGUCAUAUUUUUAGAGACUUCACUUUCACUAACAUCCCCUUACAUAUCUCUGCAUGCCCUCCACUGGGUCUUUACUACUCCUGUAUUAAUUGCUAAGUGCACCAUAAUAACUCUAAUCUCUUUAACCCAGAUCUUAUUCCGGAGUUCCAGAUUCAGAUCUCUAAUACUGACCGUACAGUUCUUCAUAAAUAUGUAUCUUGCCCUUACCUCAAACUCAGUAAUUUCAAAAGAUACCUUCAUCAUCUUUUCUCAUAAAAUGUGCUCAUCACCUAUUCUCUAUAUUAUAUCUCCACCUACCCAGUCCUCAAACCAGAACUCUGGAAAUUGUCUUCACUUGUCCCACAAAAUAGUUACUGUGUCUUUAAAAUCUCUUGAAUUAUCUCUCCUUAGUCUCUUAACUACUGCCUCAGCUUCCAGUCCCACAUCCUUCAAACUACUCCUCUUCACUGUCACCAUAGCGCUUUUUCUGAAACACUAACAUUACUUCCUGUUUAAAGCUUUUCAGUGGCUGAAGUCCCAACACUUAGCAUAGCAUAGGAUCUUCUGCCUCAGAUCCUAAUGUAUCCCAUGGGUACUCUUCAUUUUAACUAUCACCUAAACUUAGCCAUACCCAAACUUUCCCUACUCAAACUCAGGAACAGAAUAGAUUUGGAUACAUAUUUUGAGAUCUCCCUUGCUAUCCAACCUCUUAAUAUUUGCUGUCAAAACUCAGGAACUUAAUAGAUUCAGGUAUCAAGGGAAACUGCUGUUUUAAUAUCUACCACUGCAAUACUGUACCUCAAUAUGAAUGCUCUACCACCACUCCCACCUGACUACCUAGUAAAGGUGGCUGUCAUUCAAGACCCAGCCUAUAAAAUAGCUGUUCAGAACCACCCCCAGAGGAUACCCAUUCCCUGCUUGGUACUCCUGAUGAACCUACACAAGCCUUCAUUUUAGCACCUAAUGCAUUGUAUUACAAUUAUUUGUUUGCUUUUCUGUCUUUUGACUAUGAGCUCUUAGAACAUAAGACCAUUUAUCUCAUUGUCAUUCAUCUCUGUAUUCUAGCACUGUGCUGAAUCAUUUUUGUUGAAAGAAUAAGUGACUACUAUGAGUGCAAUAGCUAUGGACAUACAUAUUCAAUACAUACAGAUACAAUAAAGGAAGUUUCAUAGAAAAAUAAAUGUGUUUAACUCAAAUUUGGUCACUAACAUUUUCUUAUUUUAAGGUCACUUUAUUACAUGCUGUACACUGGUUAUACACUGGUCAAUAAAACAAACAUAAUCUCUGCCUCCAGGAUUUUACAAUCAAGUAUGGAAGACAGAGAGUACAUAAGUAAACACAAAUUGUGGCCAGUGAAGAGGGGGUGCAGAAAUCUGCUCAGGAUAGUCAGUGAAGGCUUCCCUGAGAAGGAGCCAGCCGGGCAAAGAACAGGCAGAAAAUUGCUCCAGGUAAAAGCAAUAGCAUGUAUGAAGGCCAAUUUCAAGAAAGAGGUUGGCAUGUUGGAGGGACUGAAAAUAGGCCAAUGUAGUUGGAACACAGUGAUCAAGGUUAAUACUGGUAAAUGAUCCAGAAAGAAAGAUAGGGUAAAGGCCCGGAUCAUGAAGUUCCCAUAAAGGCCUUGAUAAGGAUUUUAUCCUUAAUUCAGUCUAUAGUGGAAAGCCAUUAAAAGGUUUCAAAAUGUGUGUCAUGAUCAUAUUUAUGCUUCAAAAAGAGGGUUGCUAUGUAGAAAACAAAGAUGGAAGGAGGGGGUUCAAAAGUUGGGAGACUAGGGAAGAGGAAAUUAUAGUAUAAUCAAGUUAGAGAUGAUGUUGACCUUCAGCGAGGGUGAUGGCAGUGCAGACUGAGAAGUGGAAGAAUUACAGAGACCAGAGGAAAACUCCAGAUGGGUACUAAUACCUUUAACAUACAAAAGAGUGAAUAAAGAACAAGUUUGAAAAUAGAUAUUAUCAAGAGUUUGGUUUUGGACACAUUAAGCUUGAGGUAUCUGUGAGCAGUCAGAUAUUUGUAGCUUAAGCUCAGUGGUUGGUUUUUGGCCGAAGACAACAGAUUUGGGAGUCAGAGGGUAUUCAGAGAGAGAGCCAUGAAACUGAAGGAAAUCACCUAAGAAGAAAGUGUAAAAGAAGAAAAAACAGUGGUCUAUCACUGAGCCUUCAGAUGUAAAACAUUUAAAAGUCAGCAGAUGAAGAGGAACCUGCAGGACAAACUGAAAAGUACCAGAUCAGAGAGGAGAACCAAAACCAAGUGAGUGCAAUGUCAUAGAAGCCGAGCGAGAGUAGACAACUGAGCUGGACGGUGUAAAGAAGUCCAGUGAACUGAGUACAGAAAACGGCCAGUGGAUCUGAUCAACUUAUGCAGUUUGUUGGCAGCCUUGACAUAAGUAGUGGGACUGAGGUGUGAGUAGGAGAGAAGAAAGGAGAAUACAGCCAGGUUACAUUUGUAUUCCAAUAUAAUCUAAUUUUUUUUUUAAACCAGCCAAGAUUGUAACUGCUGUAUCUAUUAUAAAGACACAGAUUAAAACCAAAUCAGAUGCAGAUUCUCAAGUUUGACUUCUUUCCAUAUAGCAAACUUCUGAUAUUAAAAACAGAUUGCCUUUAGAUUAGCUUUAGAAUCUAUUUUCAUGGAUUUUGGUCAAAAGCAAUAGUUCCAGAACACUUUUGAUCACCCCUCACACUAGGUUAUUUCCUCUAAGAGACAUUUUAAUUUAUUAGCUCCCAAAGCUAUGGACCCACAGAGCCAGGACUUGCAGAUCACACCCACAUGCCUCCUCCUCAUGGACACCUUUAGUACCAGUUUCCCAAAGUGUGUUCUACAGAACACUAUUCCUGCAAGUAACCAAACCAAACACACUUCUGUGGUCUCAGGCAACUGAAUUUAUAAAAUGCUGCAUGCUAUUUCUGCCUCCACCUGAAAAUGCUCAGUAUAUUAAAUGUACUGAUAAGUCCUACACAAAGAAUUUGUGUAGGACUUAAUUUUGUGAAACCUAGGAUUUCCCAAACAAUUGUACAAAAAGCACUUUGGAAAAAUGCUGUUCUAUAACUUUUCUGAGAAAAUUCCCAUUUCUAGGGCACUUAAUUUUGCUUUUGAAGGUCUUCUGGAACAUUUAAUACAGGAAAGAUAUUCCAUCGUAGAGCGCAUCCUUCAAUACCCACUCAAAAACAGUGCAUUCUUUCCCAAUUCAUUACCUUCUUUUUGUUAUUCUCAUAUUUUAAUCCCAAUCUCAUAAUUGUUUCCCUCACCCAGCACACCAGAAGACAUCUGUCACUUUCUCCUUCUCAUUGCUUGCCCUUUGUCAGCUUCUAAAUGCCAUAUAGAUCUUUGUUUUAAAUUGUCAAUAUGGACAUAAGUUUGUGGGGUUUUUUUCACUUAACAUUUGUAAUGCAUCUCCCAGGUAUCAAUACAGUCUGAUUUUUAUUUUGAUAGGAACAUGAAAAUGUGUGUGUGUGUGUGUGUGUGUAUAUACAUGUAUAUCAACUAUGUAUAUAUAGAACUUCUAGGUUGUUUCUAGUUUUUGUUUUUCAGCAUUUUAAAUACCACCAAGAGGCCUUAAGCAUAAUUAAUACAUAGUUAAUAAAGUUGGUGAUCCAUUAACAAUCCCCGGCACAAUCAUAGGUAAAUACUGUACUAUUAUCCAUAAAAUGGGAAUAAUAGAUUGUUUAUUAACCAAUAAAAAGCACUUAAUAGAAUGCCUCACACAUAAUAAACACUCAAUGAAUUUAACUAUCUUCUCUAGGGCAGGGCAAACUCAAUUAUUUCAUCCGUCAUACUCCAAUCUUAUAGCAACUUUUCUAUGCUCAAUGGUGGAAGGAGAAUCAAAAGGAGAGGGAGGAGUAAGGGAGGAGGAUGCAAUUCUAUGGCUAAUUCAAGAGGAGUUCAGGUCUACCUUAGAACUGACCAGAAACAAGUAGGUAUACAAAUGUAUAUCCACACACCAUGAGGGUGCUUUUUGGAUCCUGGAAACUAUAUCUCUGAUUUUUAAUAGCUAUAUUUGAGAACACAGUAUAAGAAAUUGAAAAAGUCAGCUUUCAGAAAGACCAUGAAAGGGCACACACAAUGAUCUAAGCCAUUUCUGCAGUUUCAGAUUACAUCCCCUUUUCUGUUGAUGUGGAAUGACUGGUUUUACUUAUUUAUUGUCUUGGCUUCAUAAAACUAAAACAAGAGGCAAUCAGAAAUAUCUAAUGAAUAUGAAAUAUCUGUCAUAUUCUCAUAACUCACCCUGACACUGUUCAACAUAAUAUUGUUUAAAUGUUGUUCUAUUUCUCCAUCCUUCCACUCCUUCAUAAGCUAUUGUGAUUUCAUGAGUAGCUAGAAUCAAGAGAGGAAAAAACUUCUCCAAAAGCAUAUUAAAAGCAACUUAAAAGUUAAGCACCACUAAACAUAAUUUAAGAAGCUGUCCUUAUCUCUCCAGCUUAAGUUCCAGGCUACACAUUGCAACAAUCCUAUGUUGGUUUCACUUUCUACUCAAUCUUCUUUCUUCAUUGUGAAAUUAUAGGAUAGCUCAGAAAGUAAUGGGAAUUACACAAAAAUAUUGCUUCAAUAUAUUCUAAGCCUUGUUACACAGAUACAAAAGACUAUCAAAAUAAGUAUUAUGAAUUAUGAAGAUGGUUACAAAUGUACAAUGUAUGUAUGUAUUUUAAACUGACUUCAUAACUAAGAGUGCUAUGAACUUUUUAUAGUCCAUUUCUUUACCUAGACAUACUCCUGUAAUACAAAAUAAUGACUCAAAUUUUCCUACUUGCUUUUGGUGUCAGAUUGUGUCUUUCCAGUUGUUAGGUUAAAUAAUAUGCAUUUGAUUUACUAUGAAACUUAAAUCAGGAUUAUUUCAGUGCUUAAGUUAAUUUCCCCAAAGUAGAGCCUAAAUAUGUUGCUUUAUAAGUCAAGAUAUCCUAAAUCCCAAUAAUCCCCAUAUUUACUGAGAUUUGUAUUAACAUAAAAUGGCUGUUUCUCAAGGAGGUGGGGGAAGCUAUAGUAUUUAGGUAAGCACUAGGAACAUGUAUUUACAGCAUAAACAAAUGGUUUUGUGAUCAAGAGAAUGUGCCCAAGAUCAUACCUCAGUUACAUUCAAUUAUUUUUAUUUUUGCCUCAAAGUAGGGAAUCCUUCUUCUUUAAACUAAAAAAAGUAGAAUGUUUUGAUAGUUUCUAGUCAGGAUAUUCUUUUUGUUUGUGCCUUGAAACUACACACUAAAAAAUUCAAACUUUUUGAUCAUCUUAGCAAGUUUAUAUUUUACUCACUGAUAUUAAAGCAAGUUUACUAAUUGUGCAGUUAUUUAUAAACAAGUGUCCUGCAAAAACCUAUGUGACCAGCUAGAAUCUAUUAACAAAUCUUAGCAAAAGGGUCAAUCAACAGCAAGUUAUUAUUUAAACACUGCUCCCCAAAUAAGAAAAAUAGUCCAUUAGUCAAAAUAUAAUAUUAAGCAGAUUUUAAGUGAAAAAAAAUGCAAUAGUGAACAUUAAUAUAUUUCUCUUAUUUAUAAGUAAAACAUAGUAUAAAAAUUUCUUUAAACUUGCUUGUGUACUUUCCAAGAAUGCUUUCUCCACCUUUUAAAAAGAUUUUCAAAGAUUCAGUAUCAUGGAUUGAAUUAUUAUAUUGCUAUCCAGCUUUCAGAGCCAGAAUUAAAAGUCAUAAGAGUUUCUCAUUUUUAGAGAAUUGAAACUUUUUAUUGAAGGUUUACAUCAACUUAGCAGAAAAACUGGGACCAGAAUGUAGGUCUCCUAACAUCUAGGGCAGUAAGUCAAUUCUUUACGUCUACUGAAUUCCAUUAUCUGAAAUAAUAGCAAAUAUUCAUCUUUUGAAAUUGGGUUUGAUUGUUGGGAACAAAAUUCACUUGGAGCCAAAUUCUGAAAAUAAGCUGAGUGACUAAGAUAGACAAUUCAGAUUUGGAUACAUUAUUGAGUAGCAAUGAUGGGUUGUGAAGUCUUAAUAGGAAAUUCCAAGUUAAGUGUGGCAAAAAAAUGUUAGAACAAUGGAAGUAAGUGCCAAGAGGACUGGUAAUUAUUUGCACACAUAAAUUCUGCUUGUUUAAAAUUAUUCUCCUGCUUUAUGGCCUUAUUACUUUAUAUACCUCACAUAUAAAAUUUCAAGAUAGUCAUUCAAAACUCACUAAAGUAAUGUUUCGAUUAUUAGUACUGUCAAGAAAAUAACAAGCAUUUACUAAAUGAGUACCAAAUUAACUUUUUCUAAAAAUAUAUAACAUACUUGCCUUCUUUCAAUAGCAAAGGACACUAAAUGAAAAUAUUCUUUGAUGGCCAUGUUCUUUUUGGAAUCAUUCAUUACUCAGUGCCUCACCUUCCUCAUCUGUAAAGCAGCAGUAACAAUAGAAUUCGCUUUAUAGAGUUGUAGCAGGGAUUACAUGUGAGCGACAAUACACGUCAAGUACUAAAGAGAGUUCCUGUCCCAUCGUGCAUACUCAGUAAGGUUACUGUUAUUGUUAUUGUUACUAUAUUAUGUGGUAUCUCAUUAUUUCAUGGUUAUUUACGGAGCAACGUCUAUGUACUUCUGAUGGUACCAAAAGACACUUAAGGAUAAAUCAAAGGGAUUCAAAUGCACAAAUGCACAAACACAGUGCCAAGAGUUUUUCAUACAUUACCUCUUCUACAAAAUCAUUAGGGUGAAAACAUUUGCUAUGAUCUUUCCUAAAGCUUUUUCUCUCUUCAGUUUUAUUAACCACAUUUUCAAAAUUUUUCUUCUUGCUUUCCAUCUCAGAUCAUUGUUAUAACUUCCUACCACUUCAAAGAUGAGCAUUAUUGACACCCCAAAUUCAGUCUUUGGCUUUCUCUUUUCUUUUUCUACUUCUUUCUUUUGGUCACCUUAAUCUUGUUUCACAGCUUCAACUAUAUGUUGAAAACAUAAAACAGGAAGGGGUUUUUAAAGAUUUAGUCCAAUCUCUUUCUUACAUAAGGAAUCUGAGACCUGGUGAGGUUGAAUGGCUUGCCAAAGUUUAAGGCCCAUCAAGCUAGUGGUUUCUCUGCCUAUGACUUGGAUCUGUAUCACUAGUUUAAAACUCUCAUCUCUAAAUUCUAUAAUUAAACUACCAAUAGAAUAUCGUCACCAACAAGAAUUCAACAUUAUCUUAUAAUAAACCCACUUCAAAAUACAACUACAGACUUGUCUUGCAUUUCUUUUGUAUCCCCUUUACAAAGCCAUGCCUGAGAAGUAAUAUAUACUAACAGAAUGAGCACUGUAUUAUUUCUAUUUUCAGCAAACAGUGGUUUGUUGAACUGUGUGAUGAAUGUUUUGGGUUAAGGAGUAUUUGACAGUCUUUAGGGUUAAAUUCUAGAAAUACUGUAUAAAUAUUUAUCAACCAAUGAAAGAAUACUCAACUAUACAAAAUUCAUGGAAAAUCACCUUCUCCAUGUAAAACUUGUUUCCUCAUCUAAAAGAUCAGGAGAAUGAUGGAACUUACCUGAUAAAGCUGAAUAUUAAAUAAGAUAAAAUUCAUUAUAAAUCUUAUUUAGUGAAAGCUCAUUAAAUAUUAGGGUGAAUGUGUAUAUUUGACACACAGAGAAAGAGAUUAGAUUACCAAAGAAUUCUUUCAUAAUGAAUUCAUUCAGGAAGCAAAGCAAGGUACUAAACAAUACAAGGAUGAAUAAGAGAAUUCCUGACCUCAAGAAGCGUUAUCAUUCACUUUACCAGUCAUAUAUGUUUGUACCUUCAGAAACCCAUAUGCUAACACUGAUUCUAUUGACCUGGAAAAUGAAUGGCCAAGAUAAAAACAAUUAGGAAGUGUGGAGAACAAGUUUACCUCAUGUGCCGGUUUGAAUGUAUUAUGUCCCCCAGAAAAAGCCAUAUUCUUUGAUGCAAUCUUGUGGGGCAGACAUAAUA